This 378-nucleotide ribosomal RNA is filed under the name uncultured microorganism. RNAcentral describes it as "bacterial SSU rRNA". It matches the Rfam family "Archaeal small subunit ribosomal RNA", at positions 330 to 709 of the family's 1478-position model. The record is from RNAcentral.
GCGCACCAGUCGCGAAAACUUCGCAAUGCGCGAAAGCGCGACGAGGGGAUUCCAAGUGCAUGCACUAAGUGUAUGCUUUUCGUGAGUUUAAAACGCUCACGGAAUAAGGGCUGGGUAAGACUGGUGCCAGCCGCCGCGGGUAAUACCAGCGGCCCUAGUGGUGAUCGUUAUUAUUGGGCCUAAAGCGUCCGUAGCCGGUCCGGUAAAUCUCUGGGUAAAUCGUUGGGCUUAACUCAGCGAAUUCUGGGGAGACUGCUGGACUUGGGACCGGGAGAGGUCGGAGGUACUCCAGGGGUAGGGGUGAAAUCCUGUAAUCCUUGGGGGACCACCGGUGGCGAAGGCGUCCGACCAGAACGGGUCCGACGGUAAGGGACGAAG